GCCUCUAUAGCUCAGUGGUAGAGCGUUCGACGUAUGUAAAAAGCCCCUGAUUGGUCAUUCAAAAAGCUAACAACCCCAUCGUUGUAUGAAAUCAAUCGAAAGGUCCAUGGAUCAAACCCGUGUGGAGGCA
Non-coding RNA from Aspergillus terreus NIH2624, 130 nucleotides. The record is from the annotation of a RefSeq genome assembly. NCBI's taxonomy places the organism in Eukaryota, Fungi, Ascomycota, Eurotiomycetes, Eurotiales, Aspergillaceae.